CAGCCUACGGGACGCAGCAGUGGGGAAUAUUGCACAAUGGGGGAAACCCUGAUGCAGCGACGCCGCGUGAGUGAAGAAGUAUUUCGGUAUGUAAAGCUCUAUCAGCAGGGAAGAAAAUGACGGUACCUGACUAAGAAGCCCCGGCUAACUACGUGCCAGCAGCCGCGGUAAUACGUAGGGGGCAAGCGUUAUCCGGAUUUACUGGGUGUAAAGGGGGAGCAGACGGCAGCGCAAGCCAGGAGUGAAAGCCCGGGGCCCAACCCCGGGACUGCUCUUGGAACUGCGCGGAUGGAGUGCAGGAGGGG
RNAcentral lists this ribosomal RNA (305 nucleotides) under uncultured bacterium. RNAcentral describes it as "bacterial SSU rRNA". It matches the Rfam family "Bacterial small subunit ribosomal RNA", at positions 334 to 657 of the family's 1533-position model. The record is from RNAcentral.